Molecule: non-coding RNA, 289 nt
Organism: Pelobates cultripes (western spadefoot toad)
Lineage: Eukaryota; Metazoa; Chordata; Amphibia; Anura; Pelobatidae
Source: the annotation of a GenBank genome assembly
CAGGCACUUAAUCGUGACCCUAAAGCUACCACUCGAGAGAGGACACCGAGGUGCAGAGAUCGGUACCUCUCAAGCAACGAACCGAGCACAGCACACAAUGAGGCCUACAAGCGUGGCAGGCGCAGAGGAGGCAGCCGAUCCCCAGCAGCAAGGCCACGCCAGAAAGCUCACUGCAAGCCCUCAUUCCCCCCCCUCCCCCUGGACCGGUGUGGGUCAUCCUGGUCCACCCCCAAACGACUCCUGGACGAAGCAAUGGGCCAAUACAGGCUCCGUGGAGCCCAAAAGCUAC